Juglans regia (Persian walnut) is the source of this 737-nucleotide long non-coding RNA. RefSeq lists it as uncharacterized. The transcript is spliced from 3 exons. The record is from RefSeq and is a predicted model, not a curated record. Lineage: Eukaryota; Viridiplantae; Streptophyta; Magnoliopsida; Fagales; Juglandaceae.
UUUUCUCAAAGACUCGGGGGUCUUCAUCCAUGGUGGGUCUCCUCCACCCUUUACCCAGGCCGUGGUCAGCAUUGAAGGAGACACAGGCAGCGGGUCUCCGUUGACACACUACCUUUUUCUUGGAUUUACGUCUUUGUAUACAACUGGCAAAGAAGCGUAGGCUGGAAAAGUCCGUCGAAGAAUAGGCAUUGGGGAAGCAAGGGCAAGAAGGGGAGGAACAGUAGGCGCUGGGUCGGUCACAACUUUGUCUUCAUAUUGCAAGUAUUCAGUGAAAGUGGAUGUCAUAAACUCUAAUUCUAUGGCCACUUCUGACCAGGUAAAAUCUCUCGUAUGUAUUUUUACUAGUAUUAGAAAGGGUGGUUCUUUGAAAUUGGCUUUUUUGUAGGAUAGCUAGGGAGGUAGGAUUAUUAGAUCAUGUUGGAAUUGGAAUGCAGAGGAGGGAUCCGUCCUAAUACAACGUUAUUGUUUCGAUAUAUGAUGUUAGCUUCAAGGGAAGAUGGAAUUCUAAUACUUGUGAAUUAAACAAAGAAAAAAAUAAAGAUAGAAUUGCUUGUAAAAGAAGAAUAAUAUGACUAUUCGACUUAGGUUCAAUUUUUUUUCUAAGGUUUUAAUAAGAUGGGUGUUACAUUUGUUGAGGGACAAUGUCUGUCUCUACAAGUAACUAAUUAAUUAAUUAAGUUCUAUGUUGUCUUUUAUAAUGUUGUAAAUAAUGUAAAAGACCAUUGAUUUUAUAAUGG